UUAAGUUAUUAAGGGCGCACGGUGGAUGCCUUGGCACUAGAAGCCGAUGAAGGACGUUACUAACGACGAUAUGCUUUGGGGAGCUGUAAGUAAGCUUUGAUCCAGAGAUUUCCGAAUGGGGAAACCCAGCAUGAGUUAUGUCAUGUUAUCGAUAUGUGAAUACAUAGCAUAUCAGAAGGCACACCCGGAGAACUGAAACAUCUUAGUACCCGGAGGAAGAGAAAGAAAAUUCGAUUCCCUUAGUAGCGGCGAGCGAAACGGGAAGAGCCCAAACCAACAAGCUUGCUUGUUGGGGUUGUAGGACACUCUAUACGGAGUUACAAAGGACGACAUUAGACGAAUCAUCUGGAAAGAUGAAUCAAAGAAGGUAAUAAUCCUGUAGUCGAAAAUGUUGUCUCUCUUGAGUGGAUCCUGAGUACGACGGAGCACGUGAAAUUCCGUCGGAAUCUGGGAGGACCAUCUCCUAAGGCUAAAUACUCUCUAGUGACCGAUAGUGAACCAGUACCGUGAGGGAAAGGUGAAAAGCACCCCGGAAGGGGAGUGAAAUAGAACCUGAAACCGUGUGCUUACAAGUAGUCAGAGCCCGUUAAUGGGUGAUGGCGUGCCUUUUGUAGAAUGAACCGGCGAGUUACGAUUUGAUGCAAGGUUAAGCAGUAAAUGUGGAGCCGUAGCGAAAGCGAGUCUGAAUAGGGCGUUUAGUAUUUGGUCGUAGACCCGAAACCAGGUGAUCUACCCUUGGUCAGGUUGAAGUUCAGGUAACACUGAAUGGAGGACCGAACCGACUUACGUUGAAAAGUGAGCGGAUGAACUGAGGGUAGCGGAGAAAUUCCAAUCGAACCUGGAGAUAGCUGGUUCUCUCCGAAAUAGCUUUAGGGCUAGCCUCAAGUGAUGAUUAUUGGAGGUAGAGCACUGUUUGGACGAGGGGCCCCUCUCGGGUUACCGAAUUCAGACAAACUCCGAAUGCCAAUUAAUUUAACUUGGGAGUCAGAACAUGGGUGAUAAGGUCCGUGUUCGAAAGGGAAACAGCCCAGACCACCAGCUAAGGUCCCAAAAUAUAUGUUAAGUGGAAAAGGAUGUGGCGUUGCCCAGACAACUAGGAUGUUGGCUUAGAAGCAGCCAUCAUUUAAAGAGUGCGUAAUAGCUCACUAGUCGAGUGACACUGCGCCGAAAAUGUACCGGGGCUAAACAUAUUACCGAAGCUGUGGAUUGUCCUUUGGACAAUGGUAGGAGAGCGUUCUAAGGGCGUUGAAGCAUGAUCGUAAGGACAUGUGGAGCGCUUAGAAGUGAGAAUGCCGGUGUGAGUAGCGAAAGACGGGUGAGAAUCCCGUCCACCGAUUGACUAAGGUUUCCAGAGGAAGGCUCGUCCGCUCUGGGUUAGUCGGGUCCUAAGCUGAGGCCGACAGGCGUAGGCGAUGGAUAACAGGUUGAUAUUCCUGUACCACCUAUAAUCGUUUUAAUCGAUGGGGGGACGCAGUAGGAUAGGCGAAGCGUGCGAUUGGAUUGCACGUCUAAGCAGUAAGGCUGAGUAUUAGGCAAAUCCGGUACUCGUUAAGGCUGAGCUGUGAUGGGGAGAAGACAUUGUGUCUUCGAGUCGUUGAUUUCACACUGCCGAGAAAAGCCUCUAGAUAGAAAAUAGGUGCCCGUACCGCAAACCGACACAGGUAGUCAAGAUGAGAAUUCUAAGGUGAGCGAGCGAACUCUCGUUAAGGAACUUGGCAAAAUGACCCCGUAACUUCGGGAGAAGGGGUGCUCUUUAGGGUUAACGCCCAGAAGAGCCGCAGUGAAUAGGCCCAAGCGACUGUUUAUCAAAAACACAGGUCUCUGCUAAACCGUAAGGUGAUGUAUAGGGGCUGACGCCUGCCCGGUGCUGGAAGGUUAAGAGGAGUGGUUAGCUUCUGCGAAGCUACGAAUCGAAGCCCCAGUAAACGGCGGCCGUAACUAUAACGGUCCUAAGGUAGCGAAAUUCCUUGUCGGGUAAGUUCCGACCCGCACGAAAGGCGUAACGAUUUGGGCACUGUCUCAACGAGAGACUCGGUGAAAUCAUAGUACCUGUGAAGAUGCAGGUUACCCGCGACAGGACGGAAAGACCCCGUGGAGCUUUACUGUAGCCUGAUAUUGAAAUUCGGCACAGCUUGUACAGGAUAGGUAGGAGCCUUUGAAACGUGAGCGCUAGCUUACGUGGAGGCGCUGGUGGGAUACUACCCUAGCUGUGUUGGCUUUCUAACCCGCACCACUUAUCGUGGUGGGAGACAGUGUCAGGCGGGCAGUUUGACUGGGGCGGUCGCCUCCUAAAAGGUAACGGAGGCGCUCAAAGGUUCCCUCAGAAUGGUUGGAAAUCAUUCAUAGAGUGUAAAGGCAUAAGGGAGCUUGACUGCGAGACCUACAAGUCGAGCAGGGUCGAAAGACGGACUUAGUGAUCCGGUGGUUCCGCAUGGAAGGGCCAUCGCUCAACGGAUAAAAGCUACCCCGGGGAUAACAGGCUUAUCUCCCCCAAGAGUUCACAUCGACGGGGAGGUUUGGCACCUCGAUGUCGGCUCAUCGCAUCCUGGGGCUGUAGUCGGUCCCAAGGGUUGGGCUGUUCGCCCAUUAAAGCGGUACGCGAGCUGGGUUCAGAACGUCGUGAGACAGUUCGGUCCCUAUCCGUCGUGGGCGUAGGAAAUUUGAGAGGAGCUGUCCUUAGUACGAGAGGACCGGGAUGGACAUACCUCUGGUGUACCAGUUGUCGUGCCAACGGCAUAGCUGGGUAGCUAUGUGUGGACGGGAUAAGUGCUGAAAGCAUCUAAGCAUGAAGCCCCCCUCAAGAUGAGAUUUCCCAACUUCGGUUAUAAGAUCCCUCAAAGAUGAUGAGGUUAAUAGGUUCGAGGUGGAAGCAUGGUGACAUGUGGAGCUGACGAAUACUAAUCGAUCGAAGACUUAAUCAA
RNAcentral lists this ribosomal RNA (2921 nucleotides) under Staphylococcus aureus SJUD6028. Its description in RNAcentral is "bacterial LSU rRNA". It matches the Rfam family "Bacterial large subunit ribosomal RNA". Lineage: Bacteria; Bacillati; Bacillota; Bacilli; Caryophanales; Staphylococcaceae. The record is from RNAcentral.